UUGGACAAUGGGGGCAACCCUGAUCCAGCCAUGCCGCGUGAGUGAAGAAGGCCCUCGGGUUGUAAAGCUCUUUUGUCCGGAAAGAAAAGCUUCGGGUUAAUACCCCGGGGUUCUGACGGUACCGGAAGAAUAAGCACCGGCUAACUUCGUGCCAGCAGCCGCGGUAAUACGAAGGGUGCAAGCGUUACUCGGAAUUACUGGGCGUAAAGCGUGCGUAGGUGGUUGUUUAAGUCUGAUGUGAAAGCCCUGGGCUCAAGCUGGGAAUGGCAGUGGAAACUGGGCAGCUUGAGUGGGGUAGAGGGUAGUGGAAUUCCCGGUGGAGCAGUGAAAUGCGUAGAGAUCGGGAGGAGCAUCUGUGGAGAAGGCGACU
This 370-nucleotide ribosomal RNA is filed under the name uncultured bacterium. Its description in RNAcentral is "bacterial SSU rRNA". It matches the Rfam family "Bacterial small subunit ribosomal RNA", at positions 364 to 726 of the family's 1533-position model. The record is from RNAcentral.